Long non-coding RNA from Labrus mixtus (cuckoo wrasse), 4449 nucleotides. RefSeq lists it as uncharacterized. Lineage: Eukaryota; Metazoa; Chordata; Actinopteri; Labriformes; Labridae. The transcript has 2 exons. The record is from RefSeq and is a predicted model, not a curated record.
ACUCAUUCUGUAACAUUGCUGCGAUGAGACUUAAACAAACAAAGGUCAUGGUUAGUGUCACCACAGCCUGUAGAGAUGUGGGAACUAGGCCAAUGCAACUCUCGACACAGUCUGUGACCUGUUUGUGGCUUUUCUCAAGUAAUAUAGCAACAAGUAAGGUUUACUUUCCAAAUCGUUUUUUUUUUUGUUGCAAUGUCGAAGGAAGCACGCGAAAUCCUGGAGGCAUUUAUAAAGAGAGUUGCACUUAGUUGCUCAGAUAAGUUAAAAAGGAAAUAUUUGAGUCAAGAAUAGUUAAAUAGCUUAGUGAGAGAAGUUCAAACCUUGGUUCCCUUUUAACCAACACACAGUUAGGAAAUGAAAGUGUGGAAAUCAUACCACCCAGAAAUGGUUAAUGCUAACAGGAAAGGUGUUUGGGUUUUAAUGACUGUUUUCCAGACUGUAACACAAGUCAACAAAAAGGUAUAAGAAAAGUCAGAAAGAACUAGCAUUGGCUGCACAAAGACAAAGAGGUUGGGUAGUUUAAGCGUCUUCUCCUCAGGGACUGAUGCAUGAACAAGUGCCAACACACACGCGCGCACACACACACACACACACACACACACACACAAACAAACACAGUCACUGUUCAGUCAUUACACCGAGGCAGCCUUUGAAUUACCACAGUGCUGUCUCCUUUCUUUCACGAGUGUGAUUCUGUGAGUGAGGUAAUUGCUGCCUGCCUGUGCAACCAAAUGUUAGGACACACAUUCCUGCAAGAAUCUGUGUUUGUGUGUGUGAGGUGCAGUAAUUGUGUGUGUGUGUGUGUGUGUGUGUGUGUGUGUGUGUGUGUGUGUGUGUGUGUGUGUGUGUGUGUGGGAGUGAGCAUCCCCCUUGGUGUUUUUUUUUGUUCGCUGCACCCUGCUGUUUCUCAGGCCUCUGGGCACACGUCUAAUUCAACUGUUGCUUCUUAAAUCCAUACGCCUGUUAGCGCGCGGCGGUAGCAGCGCGAUGAAUAUUAAUACUGAAGACAAAGGCCAAACUCUCAGGGUAAAAGCAUGCAGGCUGUUUGCUUCAAAGAUCAAUUAUUAUUCAACUAUUCAUCAGCACAAUACAUGCUUUUGUAGCUUUGGGAGUUGUGUGCAUAUUCAGCUAUUCCCUCUUUCUCCAUGCAAUGAAUCACUUUGAUACUUUUGAACCGGUUUUCUCCUUCCCCUCUCUAACGAGCCUGUGUUGUUUUUGGUGAAUUUAUUGUCUCUCUCUUUAUACCUCUAUAUUUGAAACAAACACCCCUCCGUCUUUUAUUUCUUUACCCUGCUCCCUCUCUUUCAUUUCCUCAUCCAUCAGAUGAUUGGGGUAUUAUUAUCUUCUUCCCACUAAUCGCCUUACUUCUGCAUCUCUUUCUCCAUCUAAUGAUUGUUACUAUUUGAUCUAUCCCUGCUCUCUCUCUCUCUUUCACAUUAUUCCUCCCACUCCCUGCCCGCCUCCCAGUCUCCCUCUCUGCCACAGUUUUUUCAUCUGAUCCCAUUUCUUUUUCUCCUCUCUAUGUUCCUCCUUAUUGAUCCAACAAACGUAGGGUUGUGUUACCGUAUUUGGGUUCAUUUGAUCGUUUCAUUUACCUUAUAGAAAGAUCCUGUGAAAGGUUUUUCUUCUAUGUUGAGUGGCUACAAGAUAUCUGCCUCCUAAAGCUUGUUUCAUGAUAUUCUAGUCCAUUUCUGUAUGAUAAAACUUGAAAAUAUCAAACGAAGAAGCUCAUGGUUUUCUUCUCUAACUGAAUCUCUUGUCUCUUCUCUCCCCCCUCUGUUCUCCUUCUUCAUGAACCAAAGUUUCUGAUGGCUAUAGAGACCAGGGUUUUCCUCAGGAUGUUUGAGUCACUCACAUGUUUGCGGAUCAACUCAUUCUAACAGUUUAACCUUCCUGACGCCUGAUGGGGACAGAGAGAGGCAAAGACAUGAAAAUGAUUAACCACAUGGAGAAACGAGGAAGAAAAGAUCAGCUGACAGAGAAAUCCUCUGAUUGAAGAUGCUGGUUGGCGGAUACCUAGCCAAAUUAAGAUUUGAAGCCGAAGAAACAGUAGGAGGAAAGAGAGACUAAACCUGUACAGUUGACUAUAAUACAUGGAUAAAAUAACAAGUGUUUGGUAUUUUGUUGAGUAAAUUUACUUUUUUUUUCCAUUGGUCGUAUAAAAAGACUACAUGUUUUCUACAUGUCAGUAUAGAGCUGAAGAAGAAAGGACAAUAUCAUCUGAGACAAUGUGGAUAUUGCUUUAUAUUCGUCAUAUUGCUUUGUGGCUUUUGCAGCAAACCUUGUACAUACAGUAGAGGGCUGCACUGUAAAUCAGUGAUACGUUAUCAGGCUUACAACAGUUUUUACAGAACUGGUUUAACCAGAGUAUCCAUGGCCCUUGAAUUAGCUGCCUGGUGCAGCUGCAGCGUAUUUCAGUGUCAAAAUAUGUUCCGACCAGAAGUAAACAACUCUUUACGUUCUGGUACUCGGACAAGUUUCAACAGAUGAUCUUUAGUUGUGUUCAGGCUAUUGUCAGGGUGAAGGGUUGGUAAAACUUUGGAAUUCAGUUAUUAACAACCAAUGAAGUUUUAGUCAGUUGAUAUUUAUUUCAUAUUAAUCAGGACAAAUUGUUAAUAAAUAUUCAUAUACUAAGUAUUUAUAUGGACACAUUCCAUGUACUUUUGCAGAACCAAAAUAAAUGUUCACAAUUAUCUUAAAUAUCUAAUUUCAGUUUCCUAUAAGGGCAAAAUUCGAAUCUAUGGUUAUAUUACAUAUGUCAAAUAAUAAUAUUAACAUUUGAUAACCUUUAAUUAUUAACAAAUGUGUAUUUUAGACCUGCCCUGCACAUGGUCAUUUAUUAUUCUAUUAAUCUAUAUAAAGGAUUUUUCCAGUAAAACUUUGUUCUAGCAACCCAAUCCAUAUUAUACAUAGUAAGUUCCAUAUUUAACAAGACAUGGUCAUUUUCCAUUAAAUCACCAGCACAAAAUAUAGGAACCAACUUUGGACCAAUUAAAUCUGAAGCAUCUGUUCAAACCAUAAAUAGCUUGGGUGCCUAAUGUUCUGUAUUGUAAAUGAUUACAAAGUUAUCUGCAACUUAUUCAUCAGUUUAUGGAUAAAAGUGCUGCCUGUUUCUAUGACUUCAGUAUUUUAGCCGUUUCCGACAGUAUUAAAAUGACUCACGCCUCCUGAUGAGAAAUGGAUUUGAGGUUUCACACCUCUUAAAUGUGUAAAUCAGUGUCAAAGGGAUAUUACACAUUAUUAUCUAAUCAACAGUACCCACUCAGGGGGAAGCAUAGUUAGCACAGAGUCUGUCACAUCAUGACAGAGAUACAGUUACAGUAAAGUUGGUGACACUAUUUUUGUUGUUUGAGUAGAUUUUAAUAUUCAAAUAAGAACUUGUUAGGUUGUAGAGUUUACUUUUUUGUGUGUCCAUUAUUAAUGUGUGGGUGUUUUAAAUAGUGAUGGAUAUGGAUAUAUUGUAUUGUCGCAGUGUUACUAUGUAAGAGGGUUUGUUGGUACAACAGCAUUGGCACAGUUGAUCCAAACAAAGCCUUGACUUUCCUUUGAUACCACAGCAGAUAUCUAAUGAACAGUAACAUCGGAUUGGAGUAACAAAAGUCAAAGAGCCUUAAUCAAAAGGAAAUAAACCAGCUAGCCUUAGACACUACACAAAUGGGCAAUGAUGUAUUAAACAGACAUACCUGCAAGUUUGCUUGAAGUAAGUGCUCAGCUGAACAAACCGGCUGAGAGUACACCUCAAAUAGAAACACAGAUUUUUUUUCUCUCUUCUAAGAGAUACAUUUAUUAACAGUGAAUUCCUACUACUGGUUGUGCCUCUACAUAAAUCAAAGUGCAUAAUUCAAGAUGUGCUUUAACUGUCUUCUGCAUUUUCUUCGAGUUGUCUUCAUUAUCUUAGCCAAAUGCCUUUAAUAAGAGUGUUGCUGUAUUUUGGUGGAUGAUGUUUUCUACGUUUAGAUUGUGUUAGUGUUUUAGAGAAAGAUAGAUGACGAUGACAAUGAUGAUUUCCAUACAUGUGAUGAUGUUUUUGCCUUAAAAAUGACCACGGGUUUUUGUAGCAGUCGUACUGAAGUUUUUUUUUCUUUUUUUGUUUGUUUGUUUGGAUGUGAUGUAUAGGUCUUAAACAAUUGUUGUUUAUUGUAAUCAAACUUUCAGCCCUUAACACUGAUUCUGCUGUAAGUUUAAGGGGACAUAUACAAGUUGUUGUAUAUUUUUUUUUGUUUAUUGUGGUGGUGUAUUAUAUUUGUGAAUGUAGGAGGAGCAUACUGCAGUUGUAAUGUACUGUAAAUGUACAGUUUUCUGCAUGUAUAGCUCUGAUGUGAAUUCACUGUAUACACUCUCACACAAACUGAGAUUAUAGCAUAGUUCUGUGACUCUGCAAUAAUAGUUUUAUUUUAAGCCGUUUGAGAUCACUGAUGAAUUCUUGCAAUUAAAAAGAUUUGGUUCUAA